CACGCGCAGUUCUCCCUCUUUCUUGGUCUCGGGGUGCUGUCUGUGUUGUGUGCUGCUUAUGGCCCCGCCGUUCAACAUGCAUCAGCUACACUCUUCCUUCUUGUGGCUUCAGUACAGAUCUGCCCCCGAAUGUGGAGACUUAAAGCUACUUCUUCCCAAGAAUUUGAAUCCUGCACUUCAGAGAUACAUAGAAGAAACAUCACCUGGUGAGAAAUAUGCACUUCAUGUUGAGGUGUCUUCCACUGAGCUGUUUAAACAUGCACUGAGAGAUGAAACUAAGCUGUUACAAGAUGGAUGCUACUUUUGUCUGUGCUGCGUUUGAGAGAUUGCUUUUAGAGAUGCUUGCAAAUUCAUUUUGUUCUUCAAAAAUGUGAGGCGAAGAUUAGUACCACUUCCAGAUGUUUCGCAUUGUGAAGUACUUGUUUUAACUUCCUAAGUAUUAGGACUUCAACAUAGGCUUGUGUGAUGGAACUGGGAAGUGAUGGACCUGGUAGUGCUCCCAGCAAAAGUAAGUUGCUAACACAUGAGUGACUGGUCAGAACCGUGUGAUACAGGGAAUGAGAAAGUUACUGGAUUCUUACCUUUACAGUGCAGCUGCAGCAUUAAGCAGAGCUCUUGAUGAUUUUAUUACACUUUCCAGGUAAAAAGCUCACAGAUUUGCCAGCAGCCUGUAGGAUUCAUUCACCCAAAGUGCUGCAUAUUUCAAAAUUACCUGCUUUCUGUGACUAAAAACAAAUAGUGGUGGCCAUUUAAAAUGUGUGACUGCUGUGGACUAUUUAAAUUCCUAUUUGAUAAGAAAAGCUCUAUGCUACCAUGUUGCCACACAUUCUGGGCUGAACAAAUGCAAUACAAUUACCUGCUAUUAAACUUGCUGUUUAAAUUUAGUGGACUCUUCCAGGGAGUAGCACUGAUCUUGAAUGCUUGUGGUAAAUAGUUUAUCUCAAUGGCUAGAUCAGAGCUCUUACAGUGAAGUGAAUGAAGAUAUGGUUGGGAGUAUGGUCCCAAAUUUCAAGGUCAGAUCCCCUUUAAAGGACAAACCAGAGAUGUAACAUUAAUCUGGUCUUGGCAUGUACUGUUUGUGAUGAAUUCAGAGCAAUGGGAAUCUCUCUGAAAGAGGCUGAGGAGAACUCUUGUGCUGAAACAGUACCCACAAUCACACUCUCAAACCACUGCCAAAAAUGUGCUAGUACAAUUUCACAUUGUCACAGGGUGAAGCUUGCAUGGAGUUUGAGAAACAAGAUAGAUGUGUCUGAGGUAAGUGUAGAAUACAUGGGGUUUAAUAAUUUCUGGAAUAGUGUCUUUGCACUGAAUGUUUUAAUAGUGGUGCCUAGAAUUAGUCCUAUAAGAUACCUGCAUUGUCUUCCCUUUAUUGUAUGUGGCUGUUCUGUGGGCACUACUGUAACAUGGUACUCUGGAAUUAAAAUUAAAAAAGUCCCUGAUUCUUCCAAUGUUAGUAGUUUUGUAUUUCCAAUUAAGUUAGGAUUUGUAAGUUUUGUGUAUUCUAUUUGGGUGUUGUAAGUUGAACUCAUAAGAUGGCAGCUAAAAGUCAGUUUCCUUUUAGGUAAAAUAGUUUGGUGAAUAGAAAUUCAUGGAUAAAUAAACUUUGCAUAUAUAAUGCUGCUGUUAUUCUGAAAGUACUUUUCUUUGUCAGGAAGGGACUUCUGACUGCAGCCUCACUGUGGGUAAAGAGGCAACUCUGAAACUGGCACAUGAAGAGUUGAGAAGGUGGAAGAUUGCUCAUAAAUGGGUUACACUUGCAUGAACAGCACUGAAAAAGCCAGUGUGUUCUUACCUCACUGGUAAUGUUUGCCUGAUGCUGAUUGGAGCCAAUAAAAAUCUGCAAACUCUA
Poecile atricapillus (Black-capped chickadee) is the source of this 1849-nucleotide long non-coding RNA. RefSeq lists it as uncharacterized. The transcript is spliced from 10 exons. The record is from RefSeq and is a predicted model, not a curated record. Lineage: Eukaryota; Metazoa; Chordata; Aves; Passeriformes; Paridae.